GACGAACGCUGGCGGCGUGCUUAACACAUGCAAGUCGAACGGAAAGGCCCUGCUUUUGUGGGGUGCUCGAGUGGCGCACGGGUGAGUAACACGUGAGUAACCUGCCCUUGACUUUCGGAUAACUUCAGGAAACUGGGGCUAAUACCGGAUAGGAGCUCCUGCUGCAUGGUGGGGGUUGGAAAGUUUCGGCGGUUGGGGAUGGACUCGCGGCUUAUCAGCUUGUUGGUGGGGUAGUGGCUUACCAAGGCUUUGACGGGUAGCCGGCCUGGGAGGGUGGCCGGGCACAUUGGGACUGAGGUACGGCCCAGACGCCUACGGGAGGCAGCAGUGGGAAAUAUUGCACAGUGGGCGGAAGCCUGAGGCAGCAACGCCGCGUGCGGGAUGACGGCCUUCGGGUUGUAAACCGCUUUCGCCUGUGACGAAGCGGGAGUGACGGUAAUGGGUAAAGAAGCACCGGCUAACUACGUG
Molecule: ribosomal RNA, 468 nt
Filed under: uncultured bacterium
Lineage: Bacteria
Description: partial 16S ribosomal RNA
Rfam family: Bacterial small subunit ribosomal RNA
Source: RNAcentral